This is an RNA transcript of Abrus precatorius (Indian licorice), 2222 nucleotides long. It is a transcript of the gene named peptidyl-prolyl cis-trans isomerase FKBP16-4, chloroplastic, with no coding region annotated. The record is from RefSeq and is a predicted model, not a curated record. NCBI's taxonomy places the organism in Eukaryota, Viridiplantae, Streptophyta, Magnoliopsida, Fabales, Fabaceae. The transcript is spliced from 10 exons.
CUUUCCCUUUUUUCCCUAACCAAACCAAAAAAUAAAAUAAAAAUAAAAGCAAAAUAAACUAGAUUCUGAUCUCACUGACAAGAUCAACCAACAAUCCAACAUCAUGGAAUUCUCAGUGUUCCAUUAUCAGCACCAUCCUAUGAUUCUUCAUUGCCCUCUUACCUCCAUUCUCUUGACAAGGACACAAAAAAGACUUACCGACAAAAGUUCAUAUAGGUUACCAUGCAAAUGCUCAUAUUCAUCCACAAAUAAAACUGCUACAGAAGCAGUUACAAUGUCUUCACAUAUUGAAGGAAGGAGAGCAUUGCUCAGUUGUCUCCUCACAACUGUUGCUGGAGUCUAUACAUGUGAUGUGGCUGAAGCUGUUAGCACAAGUAGAAGAGCUCUACGAGGAGCCAAAAUUCCUGAAAGUGAUUUUACAACCUUACCCAAUGGUCUGAAGUACUAUGAUUUGAAGGUUGGGGAUGGAGCAGAGGCUGUAAAAGGCUCUCGUGUUGCAAUUCACUAUGUUGCUAAAUGGAAGGGUAUCACCUUUAUGACUAGUAGACAAGGAAUGGGCGUUGGAGGAGGAACGCCUUAUGGAUUUGAUGUGGGCCAAUCUGAGAGGGGAACGGUCCUUAAAGGCUUGGAUUUAGGAGUACAGGGCAUGCGGGUUGGCGGCCAGUUUUCUGCAGCGACUGUUAAUUGUUCCUCCUGAACUUGCCUAUGGAAGCAAGGGUAUCCAAGAAAUCCCUCCGAAUGCAACCAUAGAGAUCCCUUAGGUUAAAUUAUCAUUUCUACGUUAGCAAGAUUAAAUUCUUGUUCCUCUUUAGAGACCAAAGAGAUUGAGGAUCAGUCAGUUCAAUUGAAGGCUGGAUUCACAUUGGCUGAUUCUAAUACUAUAGCCCAAGUAUUUAAUUGUGAAAAGGAUUCACCCUCAUAGGAGAACUAAUCAAGUAGGAGUAGACUACAACUCUGCAACUAUAGCAUGAUCGUGAUCCUAUAGUAUUACUGAUUCUUUUCAAUCUUCUGCUUUCUUUUUUUUUUACCAGAAAACAAGGACUUAUUUUUCUGCCUUCCUUUUUGUAUCACACAUUCCCAGACCCUAUAGCUCCAAAAUAUAAAGCCAUGCACAUGUCAUUCCUAUGGUUGUGGGUUAGCACGUUGAAUGGAAUUUUUCCCCUACUUGUUUACCCCUCUCAUUGCAAUAAUAUGUUAACGAGAAACAAUGUGAUCCUUGCUAGAUGAGCAAUGAAUGUGACUUGCCAAAUGUUGCAAAUUCCAGAGGAUGCUACCCUAAUAGAUAGUGGAGAGAAAUAGAGGCCAUGGUCUGAAAUUUCAUAUGGGAUUUUAAGGUUGAAAAAUGCUUCUUUUACAUUUCAUAGGUCAAAAAAUUUGUGAAGAUCCAAAGUUAGUUUGGAUGGUAGAAGACUGAUUCCAACCUAUUAACUCAGAAGUGUAAUUCUGUCUUCAUACUGGUUUAACUGGAACUUUCUCAUGAUGAAACAAUGUAAUCAAAAUCUAAUCAAUUUGGUUGAUAAGGUGGUAUUUCUCAGUAAAAAUACAAGUUCUUGAACCCCUAAGCUUGCUGAAAACCUCUUGUUCUGUCUAACGGAAAUUCAUUGGCACACAACUAAUUUCUUUAGUUAAAAGACGUUAAGUGUGUGAAGCGACCACUUUCACUUGGAAACUAGAUCUAGGUGGAACGGCCAAACCAUUCCAUCUUGUUAAGUCACUCAUGUAACAACUCCAUUAACAUGAAAAGAAAAAGAUCAUCCUUAAUUGUUUAUAAGGAAUGCUUCGCAGUUUCACUACAUUUAUCAUUACGGCUAUCUAUAUAUUGCUGCAACUUUUUUAUUAUGCUGUGCUCUUAAAGUGGAUUUUCUUUUCAAUAUGCAAUUGUACUGUUUGCUACUUUCGAAAUGCAGUUGGAUAUUGAGCUGCUCGCUAUCAAACAAAGCCCAUUUGGGACUGGCGUAAAGAUUGUUGAGGGUUAAUGCAAUGAUUUAAUAUUCAGAGUGAUACUUUGGCAUUUUAUGAGAAGGACAAGUGUCCUCCCACCCAGGCAGCCCAUAUUUUUUCCUUGAUUUCAAUGAACCCAGAAUUUAACCUGUUCCUGGAGUGGCUAAGAAACAGCCAAAAAAAUGAAACUUUAUUAAAAAAAACUUGAUUCUGCAUUAAUUCAGGACUUACGUUGCUAGGUGCAAAAGUUCAUCGGAUGUGAUAAAAUGGAAACAAAAAAU